Drosophila virilis is the source of this 282-nucleotide non-coding RNA. NCBI's taxonomy places the organism in Eukaryota, Metazoa, Arthropoda, Insecta, Diptera, Drosophilidae. The record is from RefSeq and is a predicted model, not a curated record.
AAAAACCAAACAAAGAGUUUUUAAAUUAAACAAUAAAAAUGUAAAACAAAACAACAAACGAAAAACAUGGAAUCCGGCGACAAAUCAAUUGACUAAUUCCUUACGACCGGCAAAAAAAUCUGCUUUGGCGUAAGUUUUGGAAGUGUUUUAUGUUUGGAUAAGGAAUACAUAUAAAUUGCAUAAUUCAGGAGUUAAUAACGCAUCACAUCCGGAAAAUAAUCAUUUGUAAUGUAAUUAGUAAUUAGGAUUUUUGGCUGAAUACUUAUAAUUAUUCUUGAUGGA